GCCCGGGGCGCGCCCCGGGCGGGGCGGGGGCACGGGGGUUGGAGGGCAAGUCUGGUGCCAGCAGCCGCGGUAAUUCCAGCUCCAAUAGCGUAUAUUAAAGUUGUUGCAGUUAAAAAGCUCGUAGUUGAAUUUCGGGGUCAGUAGGUCGGUCGUGCCACUGGUAUGUACUGGUCUCACUGAUUCCUCCUUCCUGAUGAACCGUAAUGCCAUUAA
RNAcentral lists this ribosomal RNA (213 nucleotides) under Rhizophagus sp. DGGE gel band B10. Its description in RNAcentral is "partial 18S ribosomal RNA". It matches the Rfam family "Eukaryotic small subunit ribosomal RNA", at positions 484 to 722 of the family's 1831-position model. The record is from RNAcentral. Lineage: Eukaryota; Fungi; Glomeromycota; Glomeromycetes; Glomerales; Glomeraceae.